This 629-nucleotide long non-coding RNA is filed under the name Gossypium barbadense (sea-island cotton). RNAcentral's name for it is "long non-coding RNA (GBAR_LNC009744)". Lineage: Eukaryota; Viridiplantae; Streptophyta; Magnoliopsida; Malvales; Malvaceae. The record is from RNAcentral.
AAGAGGGGAGGGGUUCUCUGUUCUCUCUGGCCAAAGCCAGAAUUUGGCAAGGAAGAGUCGCCGGACCGUCGCAGGGUCACCGUUGACCGCUGUCGCCGGCCACCGCACGCGGUGGCUGGAAUUUCGAAAGGUAUCUAUUUUUUAUUUAUUUUUUUGUAUUUUUUUAUGUCUUUAAUAUAUGCAUAUAUAUGUAGGGACUAGAUUCAAAAAUAGAAAGAAAAAAAAGAAACAAGAACACGAAAAUAAUAAAACUAUCACCUUAGAUUUCCAACUUUGCUCCUGUGUUUGAACUGUUUUUCUUUGCUUUUUGAUAUUGCUAGAGUUUUUAGCUUCUUUGCUUGUGUUUUAAAACCUAAGAUUAUUUUUUCAUUACACCAAAGGCCCAAUGUACAAUCGUUUUUGGAUUCAACCUUUUAUAGGCGUUUUUUCUACAACUUGCUCUUUUUGACUAAUCUGUCUCUUCUUCUUUUAUUGCUGUAGGCUAACGGUGGUGAAGCAGAGGCCACUUGCAGGCAUCGGUGGUGGAUGGGGUGGGGAGCAUGUGCUGACGGCUAGGGUUUUAGGUUUUCAUUUAUUUUUCUUUAAUGUAUUGAGCUAGGUUAUUUGGGUUUUGGGUAGGUUUAAGUUGG